This 468-nucleotide ribosomal RNA is filed under the name uncultured bacterium. Its description in RNAcentral is "partial 16S ribosomal RNA". It matches the Rfam family "Bacterial small subunit ribosomal RNA", at positions 28 to 507 of the family's 1533-position model. The record is from RNAcentral.
GACGAACGCUGGCGGCGCGCCUAACACAUGCAAGUCGAACGGAGCUGAGAGAAGCUUGCUUUUCUUAGCUUAGUGGCGAACGGGUGAGUAACGCGUGAGUAACCUGCCCUGGAGUGGGGGACAACAGUUGGAAACGACUGCUAAUACCGCAUAAGCCCACGAUCCGGCAUCGGAUUGAGGGAAAAGGAUUUAUUCGCUUCAGGAUGGACUCGCGUCCAAUUAGCUAGUUGGUGAGGUAACGGCCCACCAAGGCGACGAUUGGUAGCCGGACUGAGAGGUUGAACGGCCACCUUGGGACUGAGACACGGCCCAGACUCCUACGGGAGGCAGCAGUGGGGGAUAUUGCACAAUGGGGGAAACCCUGAUGCAGCGACGCCGCGUGGAGGAAGAAGGUUUUCGGAUUGUAAACUCCUGUCGUUAGGGACGAUAAUGACGGUACCUAACAAGAAAGCACCGGCUAACUACGUG